RNAcentral lists this ribosomal RNA (622 nucleotides) under uncultured fungus. RNAcentral's name for it is "eukaryotic LSU rRNA". It matches the Rfam family "Eukaryotic large subunit ribosomal RNA", at positions 24 to 664 of the family's 3401-position model. The record is from RNAcentral. Lineage: Eukaryota; Fungi.
CCCGCUGAACUUAAGCAUAUCAAUAAGCGGAGGAAAAGAAACCAACAGGGAUUGCCUUAGUAACGGCGAGUGAAGCGGCAAUUGCUCAAAUUUGAAAUCUGGCCCUUUUAGGGUCCGACUUGUAAUUUGUAGAGGAAGCUUCGGUGGGGGGACCGGUUCAAGUCCUCUGGAACGGGACGUCAUAGAGGGUGAGAACCCCGUCCGGCCAGGUACCCAAGCCUUAUGUUGCUCCUUCGACGAGUCGAGUUGUUUGGGAUUGCAGCUCAAAAUGGGUGGUAAAUUCCAUCUAAGGCUAAAUAUUGGCCUGAGACCGAUACCGCACAAGUAGAGUGACCGAAAGAUGAAAAGCACUUUGAGAAGAGAGUUAAAAAGCACACUGAAAUUGUUGUUAGGGAAGCGCUUGCGGUCAGACCCCUUCUAUGGUUGUUCAACCGGUUCAUUGUGACCGGCUCACUUUUCCGUAGUAGGGCCAACAUCGGUUGAGGUGGUCAGAUAAAGGCCCUGGGAAAGUGACUCUUCGGAGUGUUAUAGCCUAGGGUAUAAUGUGACCUACUUAGACCGAGCGCAGCGAUUUUCCAGGAUGUUGGCAUAAUGGCUGCAAGCGGCCCGUCUUGAAACACGG